UACGUAGGGGGCAAGCGUUGUCCGGAUUAUUGGGCGUAAAGAGCGUGUAGGCGGCUAUACAGGUCCGCUGUGAAAACUCGAGGCUCAACCUCGAGACGUCGGUGGAAACCGUAUGGCUAGAGUCCGGAAGAGGAGAGUGGAAUUCCUGGUGUAGCGGUGAAAUGCGCAGAUAUCAGGAAGAACACCCGUGGCGAAGGCGGCUCUCUGGGACGGUACUGACGCUGAGACGCGAAAGCGUGGGGAGCGAACAGG
This 252-nucleotide ribosomal RNA is filed under the name uncultured bacterium. Its description in RNAcentral is "partial 16S ribosomal RNA". It matches the Rfam family "Bacterial small subunit ribosomal RNA", at positions 524 to 776 of the family's 1533-position model. The record is from RNAcentral.